Long non-coding RNA from Onychostoma macrolepis, 5869 nucleotides. RefSeq lists it as uncharacterized. The record is from RefSeq and is a predicted model, not a curated record. The transcript has 6 exons. NCBI's taxonomy places the organism in Eukaryota, Metazoa, Chordata, Actinopteri, Cypriniformes, Cyprinidae.
GUGAGCUUUUAAUUUCCCUGCUGUACUAGCACACUUACAUGAUGAGCAGCUUUGAGCCGGCCUUUCUCAGUUGUUUGUAAACAAACACAAAAUUCAUACACCUCUGAGGCCAUUUUAUUGGGUUUGGACACUUUGAAGAAGUUUGAUGUUCUUGGAUCCGCUUACAGUAGUAUUGAAUUAUUCCAGCAAUGAAAGUAGAUUCAUGUUUUGAACUGCCUCUGGAGCUCCAGUCAAGGUGAUUUCACAUUCGUUCAGUACUUUGAUUGCGGUGAAACAUCUGGAACUGCCUACAGUAAUAAGUGAUUCAUGAUGUCUGGCUCUGAGUUCCCAAGACUCAUUUUGGUUGGCAGAUUUGCAGUAGCUGUCUAGUCAAAGACUAUCACCCAUGUAAACAAGCGCCCAAGUGCAUGCAGUUAGUUAAAUGAACUUAAAUGAGUAGAGGCUGAAUCAGGAAUUUGAAUAAACGUAAGUUGUUUUAUCUUUUGUGGUGUGAGAAACAAGUGGGCAGUUGGAUGAAAAGGGCAAGCCUGAGAAAUCCCAGCAUGAAACACGGGGACAAUGCAGCUGGUACAUGCUCGGAGAAAGGUCAAACUGUAGUCAAAUGUGUCCACUUAGAGAAGGACAAACUGGACUUACACACACAUACUGUAUAGUGUGGUGCGUGUGGUCAUUCUCACACCUUUGAGUGUCUUUGGAUGUCUUUGUGUCUGUAUUUCAACAGCAGAAUCUCAUUUAAGUGUAAAUGUGUUUCAUUUUUGUCUCUCGGUUGGUGGUACUUUAAGAUGCACCCUUGACCUUGUUCGUGUGACCAUCACCUCUGUGGAAUAUAUUUGACCAAUGUUUCUUUAACCUCCCCAUUUGUACACUUUCUUACAAAAAACACACAUGCUAAUGCCUGCCACUGACCAUGACCAUCAUUGUGCAUGUCCAUAUGCCGUGGGGAAACCUUUCAACACCUCAAGACACCACCCACAGUGUUCAAAUUAACUGUCCGUCAGAAACAGAUGAGCAUUUUCGUGAAGCAUUCAGAUAACUCUUUUGAAUCACAUAAAAAAUAAAACAAUAAAAUAAAACAGAAUUAUACUUUACUAUUCUUCUUUAAGCCUAUUUGCCUGUUUCCUGUUUUGAAUUUGUAUGAAAACUGUAUGGUCUAUUCUAAAAAAAGGGGGCUUUUUUUUUUUUUUUGUUAACAACUUUUUAUUACAUUUUCUUCUAGAAACAGUAGUUUAGAACCCACCCAACCCACAAUAAAGUAUUUUUUACAAGGAUUUUAGAAAAGAUGACACUAAAAGCUGAAUGCUAUACAUUUACAGUGUCCUCAUUAGAUCCAUGUAUACGAGAAGUUGCGAGUUCCAUCGAGAUAAUGUCCAACAAAUACACCGUCCAGGUUCGUCUGUCCAUUGUGUGAGGAGGAUUCCAAUGGUUGACUAGCAAUUUUUUUGCUGCUGUGAGAGCAGCUAACAGCAAACAUCUUUGUUGGAUGGACAAGGUGUCCCAAAAGUCAUUUAUGAGAAAAUGGCACGGAACCCAACAAAUAUAACGGGUCCUGUGAGAGCUGAGACUAAAAAAGGUGAGAGAGAGGGGCACUCCCAAAAAAACUAUGCGAAAGCAUGCCUAAAGAUCCUUGUGAACAGAGAUUACACUUAGGAGAAGAUGACAUAUUCAUAUUCAGAAAAAAAAAAAAAAAGCUUCAGAGUGUGAUUCCUUUGGUCCAGAUCUAUCUAGGAUAUGCGACAUUACAGAAUUCGUAUCUGCACACCAAAACAAUUUCAAAAUCCGAAAUAUUUCAAGAGAUAGGUUGACAAAACCAAAAAAAAAAGUAGGGUCAGGAGUACAAGGGUCAUAAACUGAAAGAAAUACAAUAUUCCUAUUCUCCACUAUUGUUUUUAUAUGUGUUAUUCUACUGUCUGUAUCACAACCUUUAUCUAAAAUAGUAAUAUUUAAAGUCUUCCGCACCAAUUUUAGGACACCCUUGGUUUUAGUAUCUGAAGAUGAGUGAGAUACCACUUCAUAAAACUUAUUAUUACACCUGCGUAUAUCCUCCUCUUUCAAAUGGGAUUCUUGAACUAACACUAUAUCAAUCUUUCUUCUUUGCAAAAAAAAUCCAGAAAACCUGUACGUUUGUGAGGGCCAUUAAGGCCAUUAAUAUUACAACUCAGAAUAUUAAGGUCAGUCAUAGGUAUCGAUCAGAAUUACUGCAUAAUAAGACAAAAUACAACUUUGAAAAUAAAGCCAGUUGAGUCUACCAUUAAACCACCCCCCACCCUUCCCGUAAUUAUUAAAAAGAAAAAAAAAAAUGGCAGAUCAAACCAAGAACAAACCAUGAUCUGCCAGCACCCCUUAGUAUGAUCCGUGGCAUCAACAAAAACCUGCACAUUACUGAAGUACCAACAUUGGCCCCAUAGUCACAUAUUGACUAGGUAGUAUCUCUAUUUAAAAAUAAAUAAAUAAAAUAAAGAAAUAAAUAAAAUAAAAAAAAUAAAAAGGAGAGAGAAGGAAUACAACUAAAACAUAAAUAAAAUAACAUCAUAAUCAGUAAGCAAUACUGUAUGCACAAUGAAAGCUUCUAGUAACUAUGAAUUAAGAAGUGAACAUUAAAGUGAACAGUGAUAAACACAAGUCACCUAACCAUUUAGAGCAUCUCUUCUCCGAUUAGACAGCAAAUGUCCAGCUGAAGUUCACUGAGAGUUGGUGGAUGAAUGGGAUCUGAGAAAAACUCUUGCUUCUUGGAGUAUAGCAUUUUGGGGUGCACUUUGAUUGAGAAUGACCUUGCAGGAUAAAGAAGGAAAUUCUGGAUGCCAGCUUCUCUCAUUUCCUUCCUAACUGGCUCCGUCGGAUGUUUUCACCGGGGCGUGAAUUCUGGCAGCCCGCAGAAUGAGCUUCCUGUCCGUGUACUGCAACAGUUUAAAGGUGCCAUAGAAUGGAAAACUGUAUUUACUUUGGCAUAGUUAAAUAAUAACAGUUCUGUACAUGCACUCUAAAAAAAAGUGGUUCUUCAGUGGUUCUUCAUAUAUAGCACCACUACCGUAUAAAGAACCUGUUAAGCCCCUGUAUGGUUCUUCAGUGGUUCUUCAGCGGUUCUUUGGGCUGGUUAAGGUGCUAUAUAGCACCACUGCUGUACAUAAAGAAGCCAUUAAGCCAGCCAUUAAGUUUUUUAACUGUGUUUGCACUUGGAUGGGAUUAAUGCAGAACACUAAUUCGGGUUACCAUACUUGCCCACACCUCACUUCAUUAUACUCCAAAUUUUGUAAUUGCAGUAAAUUAAACUUAAUUUACUAAUUGUACAUCAGAUUUUAAUUUAUAAUAUAUAUAUUAUAUACACACACACACAAUCUUUUUUUUAUUUAAUGAACACACACAAAAUAAAAUGUCUCUGUAACUCAUUUACACAUACCAUAUAAAAGUAAAAUCAGUAAAGAGUUAAAGCUCUGGUGUUGAAUUAUCCACAAGUUUUUUUUUCCCCUCAAAUUUCAGACCCAUCACCUAUGUAAGUUUAAUUUGACUUCCAGUACUAUAGGUGACGAUAAUGCUCUUAAGUAGUUAUUUGCCAUUAAACAAGAAGAAGGUGUUACAUCCAGGACAUUUAGGUACUUUGUGCGCCUAAACGGGCUGAAACUUUUCUCACAGUCGCCAUUUUCUUUGACCCGCGAAUCGCGAUGCGGAGCAUACAAGGACAGAAAAAUUCAGAGAUUAAGUGUUUUAUGUUAAUCACACAGUAUUAAUUUUAUAACAUCACAUUGUUUUAGAACGAUAUUUCUGUGCUGUGUGUGUGGCUCGCGGUGCGGAGCUGACGAGGAGGUUGCUUUUUAACAGGAAAACACUGAAAGUAAGUGUUUUAUCUAAUUUACAAUAUGUAUUUUAUAACAUAUUGAUUUACAGUGAUAUUUAUAUGCUGUACGCGUUUAAACGGGCCGAAACUUUUCUCUCAGACGACAUUUCCUUUGACUCGCGGUUUAGACACGGAGGUUUUUUAACAGAGACAACACUGAAAGUAAGUGUUUAGUCUCAUUUACAUAUGUAUUUUAUGAUGUUAUAUUAUUUUAUAACGAUAUUUUUCUGCUGUGCAGUCCUAAACUUUUCUCAUAGACAUAAUUUUCUUUGACUCAUGAUACUGAGAAGACUGAGAAGAUGUUACUUUUUUGGAAAACACCAAAAAGAGACGUUUGCUUUGAUUUGGUUACUAUUAUCAACAAGAGACCUAAAAUGGCUCAUGCUGAAAUAACUGAAAAAAAUCAAAAGGAAAUUUGUUUGAGUAUAAAAUCAUCAGUACAUUGUCAAGUUGGAUGAAAAGAGCUCUUGUUAACAUUUUUUGGACACAUACAACAGACAUGGCUCCUUUCGGAUCUGUGAGACUACGCCAAUGUUGAUGUGGACCAACCAAAUUCUCACACAGCUCUCUGUAAUGACACCCUGAGUCCUUCAAGUUUCGCGGAGUCCCCUGAAGGAGAAGUUCAGGUGCAUGAUUGAUGAUUGAAGAUGGCGGACUGAAAAAAGGCAUACAGUUGGAAGCAGCUAUUCUGCUCUUGCCUGCUCUGUUCAAGGAGGACCUGGGGUUGCUGCUUGAAGUUGAGGGCCAAUCUCAGACCAGCCCAUCCCAACAACUAAGAUGAAGCUUAAAGGCUGUAGGGAGGGUCAUCUCCUGCAGUAUGACCACAUUGCGCUCAUGUUGGAUGGACAGUUAAUCACAGAGGAGAGUGAGGACAUCUUGACGGCACUGAGACUCCUCCUGUGUGUAUAUUUUGUGUUUGGAAUCCAGUAUCCUAAAGCAGCGGUUCUCAAUUCCAGUCCUGGUGACCUGCCCCCACAUGUUUUGCAUGUCUCACUUAUUUAACACACCUGAUUCAGAUCAUGAGCUCAUUAGAAAAGAGCUCCAUGAAUGAACUGUGCUCUGACUGACAUGGUCCCACAGUGUCCCUACACAGAACAUUCAUUCACAGAUUUACACUACUUCCUGUCACUAUAAGUCAGUAUUUCCUCUAUUUCUGGGCCUCUUCCAGGUCUAGUUGCAGUUUCUAUUGUUUUUUUAAAUCCUGAAGGACUUGCAGAAAUGUUAGUACACAGUUGACAGUGAAAGAGUGAAAGAUACUGCAGUACUUCAGAAUGUACAACUUAGUUUGCGCAUGGUUGUGUAUUAUUAAUUAAUUAAUAUUAAAAAGACUAGAUUUUCCAAAUAAAGUAAAGAACUAAUGUAGGCCUAAGACUGUAGGCGAAAAAGUUACCUGAUUACAGGGCUACAGUAUAUAUAUGUAAACCGGGACUCUCUCUUCUUCAAAAAUGUACAUAUUUCAAGCUUGUUGCAUUAUUUUGUAUGUGUAUAAAACAACAACUCCCCGUAUAUUGUGAUGUUGUAUAUGCAUAUUCCCUGCCCAGCUAACAUAAGACCAGCGGGCCAAUGGUGGCAAAGUCGGCGGCCCACCGGCGGACGCCGCCCGUGGUUCACCAGCGUUUUGCUCAUCGUUAUUCAAGCGGACCACCAGCGGCAGCCACCGCUUUUCCAACAGCGGUCCGCUGACGAGUCGCUGGUUUAUAAUUACUGUUUACUGGCGGUCCACGGUCGGUCCAUGGUUCAUAAUCAGUUCGAUUACGCUAACCAAAAUAUCCUUGCACACAAUAAUGGAUCAAAAACAAUGUACAAUGGCAAUUGAAAAUUUAUUUUCAGUGAACAGAUUAAACAUACAAAUGCAUUUACAGUAUAUGUAUCAGAUGGUUUUAUCCAAUGUGACUUUCAAAUAGAAGCAUUCAGUUCAUAUGUCCAUACAAAAGUCAACCACAAAAUUAACCAAGGUUUAACUAUGAUUGUUGUAGUAAAUUCACAGUAACUACCAUAACUAUGGUCUUACUACAGCAUAGUAGUAAACCUAUAGUAACU